Molecule: long non-coding RNA, 2153 nt
Filed under: Ursus americanus (American black bear)
Lineage: Eukaryota; Metazoa; Chordata; Mammalia; Carnivora; Ursidae
Description: lncRNA (ENSUAMG00000000668.1)
Source: RNAcentral
GACAGGAUGUGCAUUUUAAAAGUCGCUAGAGUCUGAGCGUCAGGAGGCUGCUGAGCACAUAGUUAGUGACCGCUGAGCCCCCUGGGACGGGGCUGCGCUCUCCUGGCUCUCUGGGGGCCAGCCGGGGGCCCUGCCACACCUGGGAGGUGAGCAGAGGCUCCAAAACGGCUCUCCUCCCCACUGCCGUCGCCGCAGGACCCUCCGCCACCGCGUGUUCCGAGCCCUGCCGUCCAGGCCGAGGAUGACCCGGGGCAGGAGGAGGCCAUCACUGCCAUCCAGUCCAUCCUCCGGGCGCACCUGGCACGGGUCAGGCACAGUGCCUCCAGUCAGAGAACUGCCACUGCAGCUUCCAGGAGGAGAGCCGCUCUGGCCGCCCCCCGCCAGCCACCAGCUGCGUCCUGCCCUGCUUCCCCUGGUCAAGGGGACAGCGAUGCGAGCAGCGGGGAGACCGUGGAGGGCCCAGCGGCCGAGGAUGUGGCGCCGGGGCCGUGGGGGCUGGGGAAGCCCGCAGCCCUGCAGCCCUGCUCUGGGCCGUCCUCUCCCUCGGGACCGCGACCGCAGCCACAGCCCACGGAGCCUCCACCCGCAGAUGACGGCAGCUCGGACGACUCGGAUGAGAUUGUCGUCGCUCCGGCGCUACCCGCGAGGAAGACCGCCUCCCCGCCGUAGGCCCUGGCCCUGGGCCCUCACGCCGCGCCGGCUCUGCCGGGGAGCUCAGGGUUCGGAGGACGAGGCACGUUCUAGAGGACAUAGUGGCCAGAAUUGGAAAGUAAUUCGUCUCGUUAGGGAAGAACUAGCUACCCCACAGCUCCGCGCUCUCUUUGGCUUUUCUCUGUGGUUUGGUUUUGUCGCUUGUCUGGUUGUUUGUGUAGGAAUCCUGAAGCCUUUGCUUCAUCUCUGGGCUGGUUUUCAGGGUCAGCCGGACAGACGCAUGUGCCCGGGAUGGGGACAGCCGCGAGCCCUGCAAACACAUGUGCUGGGUAGCGGCUUCCUGGCCACCAUUGGCGCUGAGCCGGGAAGAGUUGCCCUGUCUGGAGCCGCCCGACGGCGCCUCCUCCUCCCCACCAGCAUCUUCUCCGGCACCGUGUGCUCCGACCUCCAUGCAGGAAGCAGGACACACUGGGACUGUGCCUUCCAGAAGAGAGGGACGUGACAGGCCUGUAUGGGGCAGGCUCUCCCCACACCCACGUCGGGACACGAAAAUGUCAGGGCCCCAAGAUGGGCUCGGGCUCCUCGGGCUGCUCCUUCCUGCGCCUCUCCACACAGACUGUCAUGUGCCAUUAUCCCUACCCCCCUGGGACUCUGUCCCCCCGAGCUGUCGUGCCCAGGAAGGAGUCUGGUGGGAUUUUGUCACUGGGCAGAUUAAGCCUUAAAAAUAGCACUGUAAUCAGGAAGCAGCAUCAGGUUUGCUUUUGAGACCUGCAGGGGGGCAGGCUGUCCCCAAGCCCCUAGGAAGGGGCAGUGGGGAGCCCACAGGCCCUGGCUGCGUGCAUACCCCAGCUCCGCAGCCCAGGCUCUGCCGCCCAAAGCUUGCUCCGGAGCUCAGUCUCACCCGUUGUCUGCGAGAUCAGCCCUUACUGAUGGUAACAUGGAGAGCCUCCGGCUUGGGUGGCAUUUCAAGGGCCUCUAGAGCCCCACGUCCCCCAGGUCGGGUGGCUGAUGUCAGAAAGGUCGCUCUUGCUGGGACUGACCUUGCCCAUUGGAGCCCUUCUGAGGUCACACCUCGGGGAGCAUGACAUUCUCGUUGGGGAAACUCGGCCUCCGCUCUGUGGUCAGGAAGCUUCUGACUCCAGCACCAGCUAGGCAUAUGGCAGAAGUGCUCUGCCUCGCGCCCCCGCCCCGGGUGGGUGAGGGUCUCCCCAGCCCCCCCGAGUCACCGGGGCCUGCCCAGCUAGGUACUGUUCACACGGUAGGUCAAGAAAAAUUCAGCUGGGACGCUUGCUUGUGUAGUUUUUCUUCUUCGUUUGGUCUGUGGGCUGCCUCGCCGAUUCUCUUUUCUCUUUCUCUCCCACUGGCCUGAUUGGAACUUGACUGAAUUCGUUGCUGACCCUGGCUUGUGUUGUCCAUAGGGUCUGCUCCCUGGUGACCAGACCACCCUUCACGGGGUGCCAGGGUGCCGGGCUCGGAGCUAAGGUCUGUAGGGGCCGGCGAGU